CCUACGGGAGGCAGCAGUAAGGAAUAUUGGUCAAUGGGCGCAAGCCUGAACCAGCCAUGCCGCGUGCAGGAUGAAGGCCCUCUGGGUUGUAAACUGCUUUUAUCUGGGAAGAAACACCCCGUUUCUACGGGGCUUGACGGUACCAGAGGAAUAAGCACCGGCUAACUCCGUGCCAGCAGCCGCGGUAAU
This 189-nucleotide ribosomal RNA is filed under the name uncultured bacterium. Its description in RNAcentral is "partial 16S ribosomal RNA". It matches the Rfam family "Bacterial small subunit ribosomal RNA", at positions 338 to 524 of the family's 1533-position model. The record is from RNAcentral.